GGGGUAUAGUUCUUCGGAACUAGAGACCGGCGCACGGGUGCGUAACGCGUAUGCAAUCUACCUUUCACAGAGGGAUAGCCCAGAGAAAUUUGGAUUAAUACCUCAUAGUAUAAUGAGUUGGCAUCAACACAUUAUUAAAGUCACAACGGUGAAAGAUGAGCAUGCGUCCCAUUAGCUAGAUGGUAAGGUAACGGCUUACCAUGGCUACGAUGGGUAGGGGUCCUGAGAGGGAGAUCCCCCACACUGGUACUGAGACACGGACCAGACUCCUACGGGAGGCAGCAGUGAGGAAUAUUGGACAAUGGGCGCAAGCCUGAUCCAGCCAUGCCGCGUGCAGGAUGACGGUCCUAUGGAUUGUAAACUGCUUUUGUACAGGAAGAAACACUGGUUCGUGAACCAGCUUGACGGUACUGUAAGAAUAAGGAUCGGCUAACUCCGUGCCAGCAGCCGCGGUAAUACGGAGGAUCCAAGCGUUAUCCGGAAUCAUUGGGUUUAAAGGGUCCGUAGGCGGUUUAGUAAGUCAGUGGUGAAAGCCCAUCGCUCAACGGUGGAACGGCCAUUGAUACUGCCAAACUUGAAUUAUUAGGAAGUAACUAGAAUAUGUAGUGUAGCGGUGAAAUGCUUAGAGAUUACAUGGAAUACCAAUUGCGAAGGCAGGUUACUACUAAUGGAUUGACGCUGAUGGACGAAAGCGUGGGUAGCGAACAGGAUUAGAUACCCUGGUAGUCCACGCCGUAAACGAUGGAUACUAGCUGUUGGAAGCAAUUUCAGUGGCUAAGCGAAAGUGAUAAGUAUCCCACCUGGGGAGUACGU
Molecule: ribosomal RNA, 813 nt
Filed under: uncultured Bacteroidota bacterium
Lineage: Bacteria; Pseudomonadati; Bacteroidota
Description: bacterial SSU rRNA
Rfam family: Bacterial small subunit ribosomal RNA
Source: RNAcentral